This 253-nucleotide ribosomal RNA is filed under the name uncultured bacterium. RNAcentral describes it as "partial 16S ribosomal RNA". It matches the Rfam family "Bacterial small subunit ribosomal RNA", at positions 524 to 776 of the family's 1533-position model. The record is from RNAcentral.
AACGGGGGAUGCAAGCGUUAUCCGGAAUCACUGGGCGUAAAGCGUCUGUAGGAGGUGAUGCAAGUCACUGGUGCAAAACUCUGGCUCAACCGGAGGAAAGCCAGUGAAACUGCAUGACUAGAGUGUGGGAGAGGUAGAAGGAAUUCCCUGAGUAGCGGUGAAAUGCGUAGAUACAGGGAAGAACACCGGAGGCGAAAGCGUUCUACUGGAACACAACUGACACUGAGAGACGAAAGCUAGGGGAUCGAAUGGG